GAUCCUGGCUCAGGACGAACGCUGGCGGCGUGCUUAACACAUGCAAGUCGAACGAGAAUCUGUGGAUCGAGGAUUCGUCCAAGUGAAGCAGAGGACAGUGGCGGACGGGUGAGUAACGCGUGAGGAACCUGCCUUUCAGAGGGGGACAACAGUUGGAAACGACUGCUAAUACCGCAUGAUACGUUUUAGGGGCAUCCCUGAGACGUCAAAGAUUUAUCGCUGAAAGAUGGCCUCGCGU
RNAcentral lists this ribosomal RNA (238 nucleotides) under uncultured bacterium. RNAcentral's name for it is "partial 16S ribosomal RNA". It matches the Rfam family "Bacterial small subunit ribosomal RNA", at positions 15 to 236 of the family's 1533-position model. The record is from RNAcentral.